UACGUAGGGGGCUAGCGUUGUCCGGAAUCAUUGGGCGUAAAGCGCGCGUAGGCGGCCCGGUAAGUCCGCUGUGAAAGUCGGGGGCUCAACCCUCGGAUGCCGGUGGAUACUGUCGGGCUCGAGUACGGAAGAGGCGAGUGGAAUUCCUGGUGUAGCGGUGAAAUGCGCAGAUAUCAGGAGGAACACCAAUUGCGAAGGCAGCUCGCUGGGACGUUACUGACGCUGAGACGCGAAAGCGUGGGGAGCAAACGGG
This 253-nucleotide ribosomal RNA is filed under the name uncultured bacterium. RNAcentral's name for it is "partial 16S ribosomal RNA". It matches the Rfam family "Bacterial small subunit ribosomal RNA", at positions 524 to 776 of the family's 1533-position model. The record is from RNAcentral.